Salmo salar (Atlantic salmon) is the source of this 504-nucleotide non-coding RNA. NCBI's taxonomy places the organism in Eukaryota, Metazoa, Chordata, Actinopteri, Salmoniformes, Salmonidae. The record is from RefSeq and is a predicted model, not a curated record.
CUUGUCAUGUGAUAGGUCAUGGGAAUGGGACAAUUCUUUUUCCUAGUGCUCUCUCAGACCAACACAGACCAAGACACUGAGACUUACACAGAUUUACUGAAACCACAUUUCUGGGUUUUAACAAAAUUCAGAGAAAAAUGAAGGCAAAGUCUGAAUCCAAUUAUCAAAGAGCCUCUCUCAUGCUCCCAGAACUGAGGGCAGUGAUUAUGGGACCGCACAGGUCUGGGACACACUCAGUUGGAAACACCAUCAUGGGAAGAGAGGCCUUUCAUUCUGAGGGAAUCACUGCCCAGUGUGAAAAGAGAGAUGGAGGAUUGGGAGGAAGGAAAGUAACUCUGAUCAAAGCUCCUGGCUGGUGGAGGGAAUAUCAGUUGUGUGACACACCAGAACUUGUUAAGGAACUUGUGUAUGGUGCGUGUCUGUGUGACUUAUUGUAAUAGAAACCAAUGUAUUUACAGACUUAUUUACAUAUUCAUUUAGAUACAUUUGUUUUGGUUAAACUGA